AAGGUGAACCAGCCAACUGCUCGGGUUGUCUCUGGACAGAGAAAACAAGAGGAGCCAACACCUUGGGGGCCAAAAGUUGUGAUGGCCCAGGCUGAUAAACCAACAGCCAAUGAGACCAGCUUCUUGGGAUGUUCAACCAAGGUAAUGACAACAAUAUAAAAAAUGAUUUGCAAAUAAGCAAUCAAUCUGUUCCAGGAUCAGUAUCUAGAAACAUUUACAUUUUUACUUCAUAAUUACAAUCAACAUAGUUUAACUGUUUUUAACAUGUUCUUGGUAAUAUCUACACACUAUGAAUUGGAAAUGUCAAGAAGGUUGGCUGAUGAACUUGUUGUGCUCAUUUUAAUUAUUUAAACUGAACUGAAAUAAAAGUUUUCUUUGUCCUUAAUUCUGUUCACCACAAUACACCAAAUGUCCCCUUUUCUAUGGCUUAUGAGUUUGCAUGUAGGGGUAAAACACAUUUUUUUAACAUUCGUAAUGUUUGUGAUUGCAGAUGACACACAUUGAGGACCAUGAGCCGUUUGAAGCAGCACCUGAGGUCACUGCGAGCAGUCAGCAGGUAUGUAAUUACUAGUGGAAAAAUUGUAUACCAACGGGAAAAGCCACAGCUUAAGAGACCCAUUUUGUUUUGAUGUGUUUAUUCUUUUAAAACAUUGAUAUGGUGUAAGUGUGCAGUUCUGACUAAUUUGCCUAUACUAUGUACAUUUUCAAAUUACUUACUGGGAACCAACAUGCUUUUAAAAACACGGAAUUGUCAUUUCAGCAGAGCCCGCCUGAGGACAAUAGCCAGCUUGAAGAUCGUCAUGUAACACUUGGCAAUCAGAAGGCACCCUGUGAUUUUGCACCUGCCAGAGCUGCUACAUCAAGUCAUGUGACUUAUGACAACCCUGGGUGUCUUCAAGGAUCGUUUGACCAGAGCAGCCAGAUAUUCGGGGAAAAUGCAGGUAAGCAGUGUGCUACAAAUGGCAUAGCGGCGAUUAUGACCCACACCACCCAUUGCGUUCUCAAAUGGAAAAAAAAGAACAUUCAUCAUAUUCUAAAACAAGGUAAUGGCUUGUACACAUCUAUGCUAGAAAAUAAGGAAAUCAGUGCAGCCAAAACCAGUGGGCAUAUUUUCAUUUCCGAGUUACCCAGACACUGCAAAUUCAACAAUAAAUUAUUUAGUUUGGAAUAUUUUGAUACACUCACUGGAAGUCUUGAUCAAAAGGAUGAUUAUGACGCUCCUUUGCAAAACAUAGCCAUGCCUUUAGAAGAGGCUAUUCAGAAGACACUGCUGCAGACAGACACAUGCUUGCUCAACAUCCAAGGAAGUAUCUGUGCCGUUUUCAAGGUCGAAACUGCUUUUGCAGUUUUCGAUCCUCAUUCUCGUAGUACUUGGGGUUCGGUUUCACCGGAUGGAACCAGCAUAGUAGCGCACUAUGCUACUGUGUAUGAGUUAUAUGACCAUAUUAAGAACCUUGGCAAUUCCUUAUAUCAAAAUCAUCCACAUGCUUUUGAUAUCCCAAACAAGGUGUUUGAAGUCACUGGUGUGAAAGCUGUUGAGGUAAACUCACCAUUUACUGCUUUAACUGCACAGCCUGAAGCCAGCACUUC
Long non-coding RNA from Gadus morhua (Atlantic cod), 1590 nucleotides. Lineage: Eukaryota; Metazoa; Chordata; Actinopteri; Gadiformes; Gadidae. The record is from Ensembl.